RNAcentral lists this ribosomal RNA (254 nucleotides) under uncultured bacterium. RNAcentral describes it as "partial 16S ribosomal RNA". It matches the Rfam family "Bacterial small subunit ribosomal RNA", at positions 524 to 776 of the family's 1533-position model. The record is from RNAcentral.
UACGUAGGGGGCGAGCGUUGUCCGGAAUCAUUGGGCGUAAAGAGCUCGUAGGCGGUUCAGCAAGUCGGCUGUGAAAUUCCGAGGCUCAACCUCGGAACUGCAGUCGAUACUGCUGUGACUCGAGUCCGGUAGAGGAGAAUGGAAUUCCCGGUGUAGCGGUGAAAUGCGUAGAUAUCAGGAGGAACACCGGUGGUGUAGACGGCUUUCUGGACCGUAACUGACGCUGAGACACGAAAGCGUGGGUAGCAAACAGG